GACGAACCGUGCGAACGUUGUUCGGAAUCACUGGGCUUAAAGGGCGCGUAGGCGGGCUGCCGCGUCCGGGGUGAAAUCCUCCCGCUCAACGGGAGAACGGCCUCGGAUACGGGCGGCCUCGAGGGGGGUAGGGGCAUCUGGAACUGUGAGUGGAGCGGUGAAAUGCGUUGAUAUUCACAGGAACUCCGGUGGCGAAGGCGAGGUGCUGGACCCCAUCUGACGCUGAGGCGCGAAAGCCAGGGGAGCAAACGGG
RNAcentral lists this ribosomal RNA (253 nucleotides) under uncultured bacterium. Its description in RNAcentral is "partial 16S ribosomal RNA". It matches the Rfam family "Bacterial small subunit ribosomal RNA", at positions 524 to 776 of the family's 1533-position model. The record is from RNAcentral.